UGUGACAGUGUGACAGUGUCGCCGGGCUGUGGGCACGGGCACUGUGACACUGUGACACUGUGACAGUGUCGCCGGCAGGUGAGUCAUCAUCUCUCUGGGCCUAUUUCUGAGUCCCAGCAGGAAAAGCAGAACCCAGCCUUUCAUUCCUCAGUGCCACCAGCUCAGCAGACAUCACGCUGUACUGUGCAAAACCGAAAUGGCCAUGGAGACAAUGGUGGGCUGGUCCCUCCUGCUUUCCUCUGGCACGAUGUCUCACGGAGCUGGCCAGGCACUGCACCCCAGUGCCAGGAGCAUCAUUGCCAGCUCAUCCCUGAAUUGCAGGUCAGGAACAAAGGCCAAAUUAACUGGAAGGGAUUACCCCAGGUGGGAUUUUCAAUCAGCUUCGGCAGUUUAGAAGCAGCUGUUCCGGCGUCCUCGAAAAUCAGUUUCAUGCUUUGAGAACAAACCAUCCCGAAUCCAUCAGCCCAGAGCCACGAUGGCAAAGGGCUGCCCUGCUCCCUGACGGUGCCCAGUGCCAGGGAAGCAGCAUGUUCCCGGGGCUACUGCACAGGGAAUCAUCUGGACCUCUGGGAUCUGCUCCUAGUUUUCUCAUGAUGUUGGGGAAGACACUUCAAUUCUCCCCCUUUCUAAAAUGUCUUGCCCAGCCCACCUGUCCCAGCUGGGACAGGGAUAUUUCAGACAAUGCAAAGCACAAAGCACCAGGAUCCUGCCUGAACUUUUCAGAUGUUACUGUAGAAGAAAUCAUCACCAUUUCCAGACAAAAACAUGGCUUAUACACUUCCAGGCACGACCAUGGCGCAUCAGGCAAGGUCCCUACUGAUAUCCCUGCUCCUAAACUUCUCCCCUUUCUUCAUCCCUGCAACCUGUGCUGUGUGCAGUGUUUGUACAAUCAUUUCUCACGUCAUGGGGUGCCAGUUUUCUUCUCUUGCUACAGCACAGAUAAAGCUCAGGAGGUAUCUCCAGCCCACAUACAAACUGCUUUUUCUGUUUCACUUCCCGUUGCUGCAAAUCAACGGAUACACAGAGCCAGCCAAUAACAGGGAUGGAUAUUGCACCUUCAACAUUGUCCCCAUCAAAUGGAGAACAGCAGCAUUUGGAAAUGGCACUUUCCAGAGCAUCAGUUCAGUUUGAACAAGUUCUGGCUGCAUUUACCACUCCCCCUGGAUUUCAGUGACAGGGAACAAACAGCAGCACACAGACAAGCACCUGAGAUCUGUCCGUGUUCCGAUUUUACAGGAGUUUAAUUAAAGGUAUGGAUUUGCCUCCUG
Molecule: long non-coding RNA, 1268 nt
Organism: Corapipo altera (White-ruffed manakin)
Lineage: Eukaryota; Metazoa; Chordata; Aves; Passeriformes; Pipridae
Exons: 2
Source: RefSeq, a predicted model, not a curated record